UGAUAAUUUACACUCCAAGCCCCUCGGACCUGUGUUAUUGCUGAUAAUAUGGCUGACGGGCCGCAGUUUUAACUGCCAGGGUGUGGGAAGAAAUGACCACAUCUCCCGACUUCGGAAAGGUGUUCUUGUGUCUCAGUU
RNAcentral lists this non-coding RNA (138 nucleotides) under Tatumella morbirosei. RNAcentral's name for it is "MoCo sequence". It matches the Rfam family "Molybdenum/Tungsten riboswitch aptamer (Moco RNA motif)". The record is from Rfam by way of RNAcentral. Lineage: Bacteria; Pseudomonadati; Pseudomonadota; Gammaproteobacteria; Enterobacterales; Erwiniaceae.